Molecule: ribosomal RNA, 1372 nt
Filed under: uncultured bacterium
Lineage: Bacteria
Description: bacterial SSU rRNA
Rfam family: Bacterial small subunit ribosomal RNA
Source: RNAcentral
GAUGAACGCUGGCGGCGUGCCUAAUACAUGCAAGUCGAGCGAACGGACGAGAAGCUUGCUUCUCUGAUGUUAGCGGCGGACGGGUGAGUAACACGUGGAUAACCUACCUAUAAGACUGGGAUAACUUCGGGAAACCGGAGCUAAUACCGGAUAAUAUUUUGAACCGCAUGGUUCAAAAGUGAAAGACGGUCUUGCUGUCACUUAUAGAUGGAUCCGCGCUGCAUUAGCUAGUUGGUAAGGUAACGGCUUACCAAGGCAACGAUGCAUAGCCGACCUGAGAGGGUGAUCGGCCACACUGGAACUGAGACACGGUCCAGACUCCUACGGGAGGCAGCAGUAGGGAAUCUUCCGCAAUGGGCGAAAGCCUGACGGAGCAACGCCGCGUGAGUGAUGAAGGUCUUCGGAUCGUAAAACUCUGUUAUUAGGGAAGAACAUAUGUGUAAGUAACUGUGCACAUCUUGACGGUACCUAAUCAGAAAGCCACGGCUAACUACGUGCCAGCAGCCGCGGUAAUACGUAGGUGGCAAGCGUUAUCCGGAAUUAUUGGGCGUAAAGCACGCGUAGGCGGUUUUUUAAGUCUGAUGUGAAAGCCCACGGCUCAACCGUGGAGGGUCAUUGGAAACUGGAAAACUUGAGUGCAGAAGAGGAAAGUGGAAUUCCAUGUGUAGCGGUGAAAUGCGCAGAGAUAUGGAGGAACACCAGUGGCGAAGGCGACUUUCUGGUCUGUAACUGACGCUGAUGUGCGAAAGCGUGGGGAUCAAACAGGAUUAGAUACCCUGGUAGUCCACGCCGUAAACGAUGAGUGCUAAGUGUUAGGGGGUUUCCGCCCCUUAGUGCUGCAGCUAACGCAUUAAGCACUCCGCCUGGGGAGUACGACCGCAAGGUUGAAACUCAAAGGAAUUGACGGGGACCCGCACAAGCGGUGGAGCAUGUGGUUUAAUUCGAAGCAACGCGAAGAACCUUACCAAAUCUUGACAUCCUUUGACAACUCUAGAGAUAGAGCUUUCCCCUUCGGGGGACAAAGUGACAGGUGGUGCAUGGUUGUCGUCAGCUCGUGUCGUGAGAUGUUGGGUUAAGUCCCGCAACGAGCGCAACCCUUAAGCUUAGUUGCCAUCAUUAAGUUGGGCACUCUAAGUUGACUGCCGGUGACAAACCGGAGGAAGGUGGGGAUGACGUCAAAUCAUCAUGCCCCUUAUGAUUUGGGCUACACACGUGCUACAAUGGACAAUACAAAGGGCAGCGAAACCGCGAGGUCAAGCAAAUCCCAUAAAGUUGUUCUCAGUUCGGAUUGUAGUCUGCAACUCGACUACAUGAAGCUGGAAUCGCUAGUAAUCGUAGAUCAGCAUGCUACGGUGAAUACGUUCCCGGGUCU